Molecule: ribosomal RNA, 1552 nt
Filed under: Salmonella enterica subsp. enterica serovar Typhimurium
Lineage: Bacteria; Pseudomonadati; Pseudomonadota; Gammaproteobacteria; Enterobacterales; Enterobacteriaceae
Description: bacterial SSU rRNA
Rfam family: Bacterial small subunit ribosomal RNA
Source: RNAcentral
UUAAAUUGAAGAGUUUGAUCAUGGCUCAGAUUGAACGCUGGCGGCAGGCCUAACACAUGCAAGUCGAACGGUAACAGGAAGCAGCUUGCUGCUUCGCUGACGAGUGGCGGACGGGUGAGUAAUGUCUGGGAAACUGCCUGAUGGAGGGGGAUAACUACUGGAAACGGUGGCUAAUACCGCAUAACGUCGCAAGACCAAAGAGGGGGACCUUCGGGCCUCUUGCCAUCAGAUGUGCCCAGAUGGGAUUAGCUUGUUGGUGAGGUAACGGCUCACCAAGGCGACGAUCCCUAGCUGGUCUGAGAGGAUGACCAGCCACACUGGAACUGAGACACGGUCCAGACUCCUACGGGAGGCAGCAGUGGGGAAUAUUGCACAAUGGGCGCAAGCCUGAUGCAGCCAUGCCGCGUGUAUGAAGAAGGCCUUCGGGUUGUAAAGUACUUUCAGCGGGGAGGAAGGUGUUGUGGUUAAUAACCGCAGCAAUUGACGUUACCCGCAGAAGAAGCACCGGCUAACUCCGUGCCAGCAGCCGCGGUAAUACGGAGGGUGCAAGCGUUAAUCGGAAUUACUGGGCGUAAAGCGCACGCAGGCGGUCUGUCAAGUCGGAUGUGAAAUCCCCGGGCUCAACCUGGGAACUGCAUUCGAAACUGGCAGGCUUGAGUCUUGUAGAGGGGGGUAGAAUUCCAGGUGUAGCGGUGAAAUGCGUAGAGAUCUGGAGGAAUACCGGUGGCGAAGGCGGCCCCCUGGACAAAGACUGACGCUCAGGUGCGAAAGCGUGGGGAGCAAACAGGAUUAGAUACCCUGGUAGUCCACGCCGUAAACGAUGUCUACUUGGAGGUUGUGCCCUUGAGGCGUGGCUUCCGGAGCUAACGCGUUAAGUAGACCGCCUGGGGAGUACGGCCGCAAGGUUAAAACUCAAAUGAAUUGACGGGGGCCCGCACAAGCGGUGGAGCAUGUGGUUUAAUUCGAUGCAACGCGAAGAACCUUACCUGGUCUUGACAUCCACAGAACUUUCCAGAGAUGGAUUGGUGCCUUCGGGAACUGUGAGACAGGUGCUGCAUGGCUGUCGUCAGCUCGUGUUGUGAAAUGUUGGGUUAAGUCCCGCAACGAGCGCAACCCUUAUCCUUUGUUGCCAGCGAUUAGGUCGGGAACUCAAAGGAGACUGCCAGUGAUAAACUGGAGGAAGGUGGGGAUGACGUCAAGUCAUCAUGGCCCUUACGACCAGGGCUACACACGUGCUACAAUGGCGCAUACAAAGAGAAGCGACCUCGCGAGAGCAAGCGGACCUCAUAAAGUGCGUCGUAGUCCGGAUUGGAGUCUGCAACUCGACUCCAUGAAGUCGGAAUCGCUAGUAAUCGUGGAUCAGAAUGCCACGGUGAAUACGUUCCCGGGCCUUGUACACACCGCCCGUCACACCAUGGGAGUGGGUUGCAAAAGAAGUAGGUAGCUUAACCUUCGGGAGGGCGCUUACCACUUUGUGAUUCAUGACUGGGGUGAAGUCGUAACAAGGUAACCGUAGGGGAACCUGCGGUUGGAUCACCUCCUUACCUUAAAG